UAACUUUGUCAGGAAAUAAAAAUUAUAUAAUUAAUAAUGGUGGAAACUCAGGUACAGUCGACACGUGAAAUUAAUAACUAAUAGCUGUUAAAUAAUUUGAUUGAUUUGACUAAAUUUUUAUCUAAUGACUUUUAACUAUCAAUUUACGUAAAGUCAGCUGUACCUGAGUUUUCACCUGUUAGUUUUACAUAUAAAA
Molecule: non-coding RNA, 196 nt
Organism: Arachis ipaensis
Lineage: Eukaryota; Viridiplantae; Streptophyta; Magnoliopsida; Fabales; Fabaceae
Source: RefSeq, a predicted model, not a curated record